AUCAAGACAGUUUUCCUGAAGCCUAUGUUCUAGGUGAGUGUGAGGUGCUAAUAUAUUCCACGUACUUUGGGAGUUAGGUAGUAAACCAAUAGGGAUUGUUUUCUUUCCUAAGAAUUUGCACCACUACUGCAUCACCUACCAACCUUUUAGAUAGCACAAAAUGUGAAUACAUAUGCUUACAGAUUCAUGGUAUUUCAACUGGGAGAAACAAUGGAUGUAAAGUUAAUCUUCUAUAUACUACUUGGUCUACAUUUAAAGGGAAAAACAAGCAGAAUUUGAAGAACCCAAUUUCUGUCAUUGUUUUAUUUCAGAUAUAAGUAACUGGAAAGAAACUUUUAACCUUUGAUGUCUGUU
RNAcentral lists this long non-coding RNA (354 nucleotides) under Bos taurus (domestic cattle). Its description in RNAcentral is "long non-coding RNA NONBTAT011050". Lineage: Eukaryota; Metazoa; Chordata; Mammalia; Artiodactyla; Bovidae. The record is from RNAcentral.